GAUGAACGCUGGCGGCGUGCCUAAUACAUGCAAGUCGAGCGAACAGAUGAGGAGCUUGCUCCUCUGACGUUAGCGGCGGACGGGUGAGUAACACGUGGAUAACCUACCUAUAAGACUGGGAUAACUUCGGGAAACCGGAGCUAAUACCGGAUAAUAUAUUUAACCGCAUGGUUCAAUAGUGAAAGACGGUUUUGCUGUCACUUAUAGAUGGAUCCGCGCCGCAUUAGCUAGUUGGUAAGGUAACGGCUUACCAAGGCAACGAUGCGUAGCCGACCUGAGAGGGUGAUCGGCCACACUGGAACUGAGACACGGUCAAGACUCCUACGGGAGGCAGCAGUAGGGAAUCUUCCGCAAUGGGCGAAAGCUUGACGGAGCAACGCCGCGUGAGUGAUGAAGGUCUUCGGAUCGUAAAACUCUGUUAUUAGGGAAGAACAAAUGUGUAAGUAACUAUGCACGUCUUGACGGUACCUAAUCAGAAAGCCACGGCUAACUACGUG
This 497-nucleotide ribosomal RNA is filed under the name uncultured bacterium. RNAcentral describes it as "partial 16S ribosomal RNA". It matches the Rfam family "Bacterial small subunit ribosomal RNA", at positions 28 to 507 of the family's 1533-position model. The record is from RNAcentral.